Molecule: long non-coding RNA, 1327 nt
Filed under: Anas platyrhynchos platyrhynchos (common mallard)
Lineage: Eukaryota; Metazoa; Chordata; Aves; Anseriformes; Anatidae
Description: lncRNA (ENSAPLG00000020050.1)
Source: RNAcentral
AUGGUUCUUGAAUUAACACCCACAGAUCACUUCAAGGUGUUUAGGGUCUGGCCAUGCAUGUGCUCGCUCAGCUGCCAAGAAGCAAAAAAAAAAAAUGAAUUGGUUUGGAUCAACAAAAAAUACAUUUCUUCUCACCACAGUGAAACACUGACCAAUUUCCCAUUUGACUCAACCAUCUGUUCUGCAAGCGUCUGUCACUACACAGAGCCAAAGGGAGAUACAGACGGGCAGAUCCUGCUGCUGAGAUGCCCUUCAGCCCCACUCCUGAAGUGCUGUGCCACUGAACUGGCUGGAUUUUUGGCUCUCCAAGUAAAAGAAAGGAAAUAAAUCAAGAGAAAACAACAAAGAGGGAUGAAGAGAGAGAGUCUAGAUUUGAACUGAUAUGAAACCCAGGACUUGGUGUGUAGCCCAGUAAAUACUGGAAUGACAUUACCUGAGCUUUAAAAAAAAAAAAAAAAGACUAAUUGUUAAGCUUAAUUUGUAUCUGUAGUGGAACUGGGGAGCAGACACCAUGGAAAUAUCAUUAUUUCUUUUAAUCAUUUUCUUUGGUAACAGAAUCAGAAGGAAACAGCUUUGGAGAGAUUCUUGUUAUAUUUUCUCUGCCUCCGUCUUUUCUUUCUGAUUCCCUCCACUGUUCCCAGCUCUGUCAAGACUGUGACAAACUUAAUUACCAGCAAACAGUAGGAAAUCCAGAUGACAUAUCGCUCCUUUUUUUUUUUUUUUCUUUUGACUUCAUAAAAGCUUUCUAGUCUUUAAUCUAAAGCGAGUAAGGACAGGGGCCAGAUGGUGCUGGUCUCCGAGAAUGGCAGCAUCUGAAUCCUUGAGAUCUUCUUCAGAGUCAGAAAGCCAAAGACGUGGGUAACUAAAACUUCCUGGGGCUGUGUGUUUCAGGGCUGGAGUUUCAGAAAACGUGGUUGUGGUCCUGGGCAACCUGCUCCAGGUGUCCCUGCCUGAGCAGGGCCGUGGGACCAGAGGUUCUCCAGAAGCGCCUCCCAUCCUCAACCAUUUUGCAAUUCCAAGAGGGCCAGAUUUGCAGAGCACCCCACUGCUGCCUGGGGGGUUGUCACUCUGCUGGUGAAAGAGGACUAAUUGCACUAAUUGCAGGAGCACUCACAGCAGCCACUGCAGAGCUCUGGGCUCUCUGUGUGUGGCUCUGGCCUCAGCCGUGCUGAUGCUGGGUUGGCCAUAAAUCGCGAGCUGGGUGAUGUGCUCUCAGUGAAAAGGGUUUUUGCCCCCAAGUGGUGCUUCUGGGGGUGUAGCACAACCCCAGGUCGUGUUUGGUGACUGGGUUUUGUAUGAUUAAAAAGAAUUAAAAGAAAACUGCCAU